This 253-nucleotide ribosomal RNA is filed under the name uncultured bacterium. RNAcentral's name for it is "partial 16S ribosomal RNA". It matches the Rfam family "Bacterial small subunit ribosomal RNA", at positions 524 to 776 of the family's 1533-position model. The record is from RNAcentral.
UACGAAGGGGGCUAGCGUUGUUCGGAAUUACUGGGCGUAAAGCGCACGUAGGCGGACUAUUAAGUCAGGGGUGAAAUCCCGGGGCUCAACCCCGGAACUGCCUUUGAUACUGGUAGUCUCGAGUCCGGAAGAGGUGAGUGGAAUUCCGAGUGUAGAGGUGAAAUGCGUAGAUAUCAGGAGGAAUACCGGUGGUGUAGACGGCUCUCUGGACCGCGACUGACGCUGAGACACGAAAGCGUGGGGAGCAAACAGG